GUGUGCAUAUUUUUGCACACAUGUAUCCAUUUGAAGAACAACACACCUAAAAGUCCUAAUUCCAUCAUCAACAUCUCCUGAAAAGAAUCCACAAACCCACAAAUAUUAGUUAAAUGUGGGUUGGAACAUUCAAAAGCUAGUUGAAAAGCAGAAUAAAUAAAUAAUACUUUUCUCUUUAGCAACUGUCUCAUCUUUCCUGCCACACUCAAGCUGUAGCAUAUUUUUUUACAUAAAGUUUAGCAGCUAAGAAUAAAGUACUGAUCCUUAGUGAAAAAAAAAUAGUAGAAUUCCUAAGUAAGAUGCAUUUGUAGCAGCUUUUGUAUCCAUUUUAAUAUAAUUUUUCAGGUUUUUUACAGGCUGGGAAAUUAAAGCAGAGCCAGUGAGCUGCACUGCCAGGUAAGAGUUGGAACCCAAACCAUGCUUCCCAUUACCAAAUUCCCCAAGGCUUCAUUUUUCUAGUAUUUGAGGUUUAUAGAAAAGAACUGCCUGGCUUCUCUCUAUGCCUGUAAAUUAUUAUAGGCCUCACAUUUCUAACCUCUCCUAAUUGCCAGUAACAGCAAUACAGCCUCCUACUACUUUAAUCUUUGUCCAAAUUCCCAUUUCUGCCAAGGAAUGCAUUAGGCAGCAAGAUAAGACUCCAGGAAAUGUAACCUUUGCCCCAAAUAACCUGUCAUGAACUGUAAUGUUUUAUCACAACAACUGUACUUUGCACAGUUGUGUAAAAGAGCAACCAUCUGCCUGCCAAACCUGCAGCUCUCCCACGCUCUGUGGCGCUGACCCCAGGAUUCCCAGGUUUUGCCUGUUGUACUACUGCUGCCUGCUGGUUCUUUCCAAAGCCAUGGCUGUUGGGUAGCAGCACCAAGGCAGCAUUGUUGGGUUUGUGCCCUACAUGGAUCCAUGCUUGGUACAAAGAGGAAGAGGAGGCUGCAAGGUUCCCUCAGUGCAGAUUGUUGGGGGCAUACAGCAGCAGAGCAAGAAGGAAGAACGGCAGAUACAGCUGAAAGAUUCCAUGCUUAAAAUAAUUCAGUCUAAUGCUGGUUAUAACCUCCAUUUUAAUGUAUAUAUGUGUGCAAGUCUUGGUCAAAUGGAUCACGCCCUGAGAAACUUUUGCUCUUCUCAGGUUUCUCAUUACUCCAGUGUGCUUUAAUCUUCUUUUUCAUAAAAGCUAUGUAAUUCUGUGGCACUCCACCAAGGAAAAGGCUUUAACUAUGUCAUGAAAGCUUUGUUCAAAAUCCCAAGUAAAAACUUGUGUAUUACUACAUGUAACAGAAGACUGAAUUUAUUAAUAAGCCUAAACUUGUUCCAGGCAUUUCAAAUGAAAAACGCUGUUAGCUAGCUCAGCAAAUACUAGUGAAGCUGAACUGCCAAUUUGCAAAUAGACUGGCUAUAUCAAGAAAGAUGACAUUGGCCUUCCAUUUAAUAGUUCAGGUAUUUGAAUAAUUUUACAUUCAAUUUUAAUCUUUCUUUGGUAGCUUGUAUUUCUGGAUAGAGCUUCAGGUAUUGAGAAAUGGGUGGAAUAUAAGCUGAAUAGUUUUUCCCAGUGAGAAACUGAGUUAUGUGAGGGAACAGCUCCCAGCUGCUGUCUCACUGCUGCUUCCAUAUGCUGCAUAUACACCGCUAUUGGAAGUAGCUAUAGAUCAUGGGCUGCAGGGUCUUUGGUGGUGUUACCACACUUGUUUCUCAGCCUUUGUUGCAGAAAGAAAGAUGAGGUCCUAAAUGACCCAGGAGGUUGUUGAGAGGUAAGGGAUAGAUUCUCAAAGACAAAGAUGCUACCACUAAACAGGCAUGUGCAGCUCUCAAAGGACGGCUAAGUACUUUGGAAACAUUUUAGGCCUCUAAACAUAUUGAAAUGGUAGCUUUCUAUUGGAGUUCUUUUUGUUCACCUUAUCACAUUAUUGAUCAAUUCUUUGAGUCAGGCUUUAUAAUUACUGUCAGGCUGCAGAUGGCUAUUAGGAGAAGCCUGCAGAACACAAAACAAAGAAAGUGUCUGCAGCAAAGCUGGACAGGUAAAGUUACAUAUUUGGGCGUGAGAUUUUCUAACAGCUCAUUUCCACUUAAAGAGGUUCUGUGCCCUUCUCCCUUGGCCUCAGCCUACCUCCCCUUACAUGCACUGGCUUGUGUUUUCUGACCCUGCUCCAAGCCAAUUCUAAUUACUGGAAUUGAGAAGAAUAUUAAACUGGAAAAAAGGUGAAUCGUUUGUUAGCUAUGGAGUUGACUCAAGGCAUGAAUGUAUUGAUGAGCGCAGAGUUAAUACAAAGGAUGUGACUGGAUCUGGGUCUAGGGAGAGGAAGAGAAAAACUAAACAAGAGCUUUACAGCAAUGGAAAUGGGGUUAAUGUUCUUUGUUGUAAAGUGCCACUACUCCUGAAUAGCAAAUGGUCAAAUUCUGUUCAUGCAUAGUCCAACAUCAUCCUGCAUAUGCAUUUAUCUUGGUCAUUAUGGUUUUGUCUUUCACAGCCUGGGUCUCAGUGGGUAAAGCUGGGACUGCAGUAUGGCAGAUCAGUGAGACACCAGCAACAAGGCUUUGCUGUCAGGGAGAGUUGUCAUUAGUAGUGGCAUAUUUUGUAAGCUUGCCCCUCAGCUCUCUCCAGGUGAUAAUGUCUCUUGCCAGCUCCUUGGGACAAAGGUAGGCUUUCUUCUGUUUUUUCCUCCCCUUAUUUUUUAGCUGUUUUUUUCCCCCCAUCAUAAAUUCUGGAAACAGAUCAGCUUUCCAUUUUUCUCUCAAAAAUCUGUAGAAAAGCAAGACAACAAAUAAGUAAAUGGCAAUGAAACGUACUGCCCAUGAAAGAUUUGGCAUAAUUCAGUUGGAGGAAAAGAAGGAAAGUUAAUGGUUGGCAGCAACUAGUAAUCACUCCAGUAUUUUGAAGUUUUUUCCAGAUCAACUGAAGACAUUUUCUGUUUUUGUUGAAGUGAAAGAAUAUUUCCAUUGGCUGCAGUUGGGGCAGUUUUAAUCCCUUAAGUUUUGGACCAUCCUGUUUUCUAUUUCAAUCUAAAAUAAUGAAGUACAAUAUUCUUUCAAAACUGGGUCAGUUAUCUGAUGUGUGAAUUCAUCAUUUAUUUUGACACUUAUCUGAUUAUAUCCUCAUUCUUCUAUUGAGGUUAGUUUAAAAGAAAAGGCACCUCCCAAGCUAUCCUCCCUUGAAAUGUCACCUGAGGCUUUCUUGUUCACUUUUUAAGCUCUGUGGGAAGUGCAGCUUCAGCCCUAUUAUAAACAAAACACAGCAAGAACCUGUCUUCCUCAUGCAACAUGUCUUGGGGUGAGCAUGGCAAUGACUCACUGUUGCCUCUGGCACCCUGCUUUGGCUGGGCAGGUGCAGUGGCAGGAACAUGGGAACAUCAGUUGCAUGGGCAAUUCAUGCCAAAACAGGGACAGCUGUGCAUGCUGGGGAACAAGGCAGUUGCCUGGAUAUAAACUGCAGAGGGUGGCCAGGACAUCCACACAGGGCUGAAGACACAGCACAGGACUUACUGGACCUCUGUGCCCUCUGCCUUGUGGCUGGAGGCUGGCUGCGAUGUGCCAGGCACUCAAAAAGGCAGCUACAUGUGAAAACCUGCAUCUUCCUUGGAAGAAACACACCCUAGAGAUAGUGUGUUAAGAAGUCAUGGGUGAAAGCUAACCCACACAGAGCAGGUAGUUGCUGGUUUUCCUUAACGUAUUCUCCUCAGAAACUCUUAAAUGGAUUAUGGUUUCCACUCCUUUUUUAACAAAUGGGCUAUUUGUGAUGUUUUUUCCCUUUGGUAUACCAUAUUGGACUUCUUGGCAGCCUGAAGGUCCAGGUUCCCAUGUUGCAGUUGCUGCUGCCUUACAGGCAGCUCUCAGCCCAGUGCUUCUGGCUGCACAAGUGCAUCCCUCAUGUUUUGUCUCCUGGAAAACUGGAGGAAUGGUCCACCUUCAAGUGGACAGAUUAACCAAAACUCAAGGAAUAAUAUGUCCUUCAGGUGGACAAAUUUUCUCUGAAGAAAGGAAUUAUUUUCUUCUUUGUCUGUGCAUGUAGACAUUGGAUACAGUGGUCUGUUUUGGUAUAGAUCAGAGGGAAUUUCAAGUUUUCAACUUCAUAUUUCCCUAUGAUACCUUCAGGUAUUCUUUGUAGUCUGUACUGUGCAAACACAUCCUACAGUCAGUCAGUCAGCCUGAGGACAUUGGUGUACCUGUGCCCAGUGACAGUAAAAAAAUGUGUAUUUUCUGGGGCUGAGCUGAAAUAUGCUGCUCUCUGAAACUUCAGCUUUUAGGGUUGAGUGGAGAACUUUCAAUGAGGGUAAGAGUACUGCCACAGUAAAUGCAGCUAGACAUGGCAAUCUCACACAGCCUGGGGACACAAGACAUGAAAACUAGGUUUUCACAGCUUGCUUAGUCUGCAUUUUUUAGUUAACCAUCUUGGAUUUCUGAGUCAUAGAACUCAGCUACACUUGACUUGAACUUUGAGAAUAAUUACAUAAAAUAUUACAUUUUUAAUUUCCUAUACAGUACUGUACUGAGAGUGAGUUCAGUAAACAAAAGAGGGAGUAGAAGAUCUGUGCUAAUAAAAAUCCUGCCUAGAGUCUCAUUAAGAAAUCUCACCUGUUCCUGUGUAGUGAAUGAAGUAGGGAUCUCUUGAAAGAAGCAUGAUGCAGUUGUAUAAUUUAAAAGGCAUAUCAUCAUAUGUACACAACAGGAUGCCACAUUAAAGGCAAGCUUAAUUCUGGCGUUUCAUGAUAUUAAAGGUAUUGACUUUGCAAUAACAAUUUUCUUUCAGUGCAGGGCCAUUUUUGCUUGGGUGGUGUGUGUGGAUAACCUCAUAGUUUCACAAAAUUGGGAAGGUGAAAAUGCAGGACUCCUAUGAAUACACUACUCAUGUUGUCAUUUAUGUUAUUUAACUCAGCUAGUUAGGAUGCUUUUGAUUAAUAACACAUCCUCUGCCCUUUGAAUUGCCCUCAGAGACAGGUUGCCCUGCCCAGGGAGUCUGGGCCAAAAGGAUGCUAAGAUAUCUGUGUUCUCAUUGCCUUUGACACCUUAUAUGCUGAUAAAUGUAACUUGCUUAUUCCCAACUCCAGAAGAACCUGAGAUUAACUGAGCACAGAACUGUCUAGUAUUUGCUUUUCAUAAUUUCUUUGUGAUAAGUGUGUAUCUUGUGCUGAUCCAUUGGCUCCAUGUGCUGAUCCUUGCCUUGGAGCCUUCACAAGAGCAUAAAGCUGCCCCAGGCAGAGCAGCUGCAGCAUUACUGUGUAGGGGUGGCACAUCUGUCACUCCCUGCUUGGUUUGUAAACCUCCACAGACUGGAGGAGCAGGGCCCCCUCAGCACUUCCAACCCAUAUUUGUUGUGUCCUUGGAAUUUGAGGAGUUUCUCAUAUUGUGCAACCCUCACCUUGCCAAGUGGGAAAUUCUUCAUCAAAUUCAUAGUUACCAAAGAGCUUCCCAAGGGACCAGUUGUAGUCCUGUCAACCUAGGAAACAGCAUGUUUCCCACCUGGUCGUGUUCUCAACAGUGACUGAACAUCUCCAUAAAGAAGGUGUAUUUUAUAUCUUGUUCUCAGUAAUGACAACUAUUUUUGUCAACAUUUCUAAUCACGGGCACUCUUAGUGAUAUCAAGAGUGAAAAUUUUCAGCUGUAUGGAAGUCUUGCAAAGUCAAAUGAAGAACUUCAGGUGAGAACCACUGGACACUUUUUCCUAUAAACAUGAUGCUGGAUUUGUAUAUGGUACCAAUCAGAAAACACUAUAUUCAUUUAUGUCCUGAUUUUAUCAUUCCUUAAGAAACAGAACAUGAUUUUGUCCACUGUAAAAUAAGGACAAUAGCUGCUAUUCAGCUGCAUAUUGUACUUGUGAAGGAAGCAAGUUUCUGCAUCUCGUAUUUCUGCUUUUCUUGUCCCACUUGCACAACGACUUCCUCAAGAUGUACAGAGCCAUUCAGUAGCAGAAUCCAAAACAGUAUUAAACCUGAGAGAGGAAUCAGAAUAUAGGAACUGUCCUAGUUGAUGGGGAAAUAUUUGAUUGACUGCACUAAGGAUGUAGUUCAUUUUAAAUAUUCUCAUCAUUUUGAAAUACUAAGAGAUCUAAAAGUAGAUACUGCAACUUUGAAAUGGAACAUUGCUAUUUGUGGGGAUGGUACCAAAAGUAAAUGUAAUUGUCAAAAAUACACAGAAAUAUUCAGCUGCUUUUCAGCAAGCACUGACCAAAUAAAGGAGCUCCCCUGGAUCAAGCUGUAUGUUAAUUAGUGACCCAUCACUAGGGUCUUUGCUUCUGAAAGUUUAACACCACUAUUUUAUAAUAAACCCAUAAGAUGCUGCAUUUUAGAAAAUACUGACCACAUUCCCUGCUCCCUCUGUCAAUCUGAACAAUUUCAUCUGAACUAAAAAGAUGUUUAGUUUAGCUGUUCUCAUGCUCCCCUAAAAUCUCUGCUUAGAUCUUAGGCUGCUUGGAGUUUAAAACAAUUAAAAUUUGUGGAUGUGUUUUUUGUAUUGUUUGGCCAUACCAUGGUUAUCUAUAGUUAAUACAGGGUGUUUUCCAUGGUAAAUUACAUCAAUACAUGGCAGCAGUGCUGUGAGAAUCAGGUUUCCAAUUCCUUGGUAGUCAGGAAUUUCCGACCCAAUAUGGUGCUCUUUCAAAUAAUCUAAAAGGAUCAAAUAUUCUGUAAGAAAAUAAAUGAACAAAUCUUUUUUAUCAAUUCAUAUUGGUUUUCUGUUGAUGUAUCCCCAAAUGAAGCCAGAAAGAUAAGGAAUUUUUUUUUUCCAGAAAAAAUGAAUCAGUUUCUUAUCUUUGGAAAAAAUUGGUUGGUCUAUGUCCUUGAGUGAUGUUAUGUUGUUUCUCUGAGCUAAUAAAAAGACCAGUGACUCAGCUUCUGUGAUUUAUAAUUCAAUCUCAGGUGAAAAGUUUGAACAGCAUGUCAAUAUUUCAUCCUAAUGUUAAUGUAUUAUCUUCAGGAGAGACCAAAGGGAGCCUUCUGGAAUGCAAAAAUGAAUACAUUUAGCCAUAAAUAUUUUUAAGUCCUCUGCUUGUUUUCCAGGUGGCACCUGCUAUUCCUAAGUGACUUUAAUUCCUUUUUUGGAUUGACCAAACAAAUUUAAUUCCUUUUUUGGAUUGACAGAUCAAAUUUGCCAUCAACUCUGCCACUUUCCAACCAAAACUGGUAGGAAACAUACUAAGACAGAAAAAGAGAUAAUUAUGGCAAGAAGUAUUUUCUGUCUGGUGAGUUGGUUUAUUUUAAUCUUUUGCACUAUCAAUUAUUUCCAAAGCCUUCAAGUGGAAAAUGCAGAUGUAAAUAGAAUUGUGGUACUCCACAGAGCACAGCUUGUGCAGUUUCAGGAGAAAAAGUAGUUUCAGGAAUUAAAUUCAGGUGACUUUUUUUUUUUUUUCAAUUGCACUUCAAAGUUAUAGGGAGAAGGGGGGUGCACAGAGAUUGGAGGAAGCCUCAAAGUGUUUGUGGGCAGGUCACUGUCCAGCAGCAAUGUUUUCCAUGAGUUCAGCAGCACAGGGCCAGGCUGGUUCAGGAGCCCUCUUGGAGCAAGGGCACCUUGUCUGGGUCUCUCUUGCCUGUGUCACUGAGCACCAUCACAUGUGUCAUGGUCUGGUACAGCUCAAACCUACUAAUUCUUUUUGCAGAUGGAAGAGCAAGAGUUUGCUUAGUCACUACUAAAUUGAAACAUGAUUAAAAUAACACAAAAAGCUCUAUACUGUUUCCUGAGGGUUGUCAUGAAGCUCCCAUGCAAUGCAGGCAGCUGACUGCUUUGUUUAGCUUUUCACAAACCUGGUGACUUGUCUGAAGCAAACGCUUUCAGAACCUCCUCUUCUGGCACUUUCGGUUUGCAUUCCAGUUCUAAGAGCAGCUGCUCUUUGAGGGCUGUAUGAUUUGGGUGGCCCAGUUGGAGGAGCAGAUAUGCCCUCCACAUUCAUGGAGAGAAGGCUGAAAAGUAUUGCUCUGCUAGGGAUAAGAAGUUGGUUUGGGCAUAGGAAUUGUAUUUUUAAGCUAAAAUUUGCCAGAAUUGAUACUAAAAGAUACAGUGCUGAUUCCCUCCUGUCCAUUCCUACCCUCUCCCUUGAGUUUGCACAAGCCUGGUCUGAACAACAAAGGAAUUAAUCCAACUGAAGUCUCAGCCAAUGGGAACAAAACCACAGCUGUAAUCUGGCUCAGGGUUGUAAUGUGUUUUUUCAUCCAGCCAUGUGGACAUGUGUGCUCACAGGAGGCAGAGCUCGAGGGAAGGGAGAGAACUGUCUUUCAGGGGACCAGGGAGGAGGAUGCAGGGUGGUCUCUGGGAGCUUGUGCUUCCUCACAGGGUGAGGUUACGUGGGAUGGCUGAGCCUGGAGGUAGCUGUUAACCUGAGGACAGUGACAACAACAUCCAGUAGAACUCUGUGAGCACUUGUGAAAUUUUUCUGAUUCUUACUUCCCUGUGCUGGGAUGGUGCACACAUGAGCACCAAGCCCCAUGCCACAGCAUGCCACAAGCAGGAUGGAAGUGCUGGAGCAGCAUGAGCAGGAGCCCUCAGACAGCAUUUCCCAGGCAGCCACAAAAAUUGCAGAGGUGGGCACGUGGCAGCCUAGCACGACUGUGCAAAAUGGUGUGUAGGACAUGCUGGGAGGUACCCCAAACCCAGCUGUCCCAGAAUUUCACUCACAAGGUAAGUCAUGAGCAUUUAUUGUACAACUGUGUGCUCAGGAUGGCUUUUCACAACGAAGUUGCAUAAAAUUGACUUCUUUGUGUGUUGAGAAACCAAGACAGAGUUGUGGGCACCUCUGCAUCUACACACUAGCCUGUAGUAAGGAUUUUGCAGGCUAGCUCCAGGGCUAGAGAAAGAGGCAUGUGGAAACUUGGGCUGUCCUAAAAAGAGGGCAUUGCAAGAAAAAGUUUCAAGGUCCUUUAUUAGUAAAUUGUUGUUUUUUCUGUUUUGCAAUACAGGACAACUAAAUAUUCUGAUGUUGUUGGAACCAAUACCUCUCUUUCAUCUUCUUUCUUUCAUCACCUUAUUUCUUUAUCUUUGACUAGAAAAAUAUACAUUAACUCCUGGAAAAGCUUACAAAAAUCAAAAAGCUUCGUUGGAAUGACCAUCUGAGAUGAAGAAUAGUGGGGUUUUCUACACGACUUCUGAAGACUGUCUCUACAUAAGAAAGGAAAUGUAAUGAGGCAAAGCUGAAGUGUAUGCUCACCUGCAGUGGUUGAGGCACUCACCGCGGGUAUCAGGCUGCGAGACAGAACAUGCCCCUUGUCAGGGAGCCCUUCAGCUAGAUGGUAUUUAGAGGUCAUGAGAAGAAACAUGCUGAAGACUUACAGCUGAGGUGAGGAGAAACUCUUAAAGAGCUUUAGGAGAGGUUGUUGAGUUGGGAGGAUAAGAAAAUAAAACAUGAGUUCAAAAU
RNAcentral lists this long non-coding RNA (9322 nucleotides) under Taeniopygia guttata (zebra finch). RNAcentral's name for it is "lncRNA (ENSTGUG00000026477.1)". Lineage: Eukaryota; Metazoa; Chordata; Aves; Passeriformes; Estrildidae. The record is from RNAcentral.